UCACAUAUUUCUGUUAAUUUUUAGCAACACCCAUAAACAGAAUACUGGCUAAAGCUUGAUUUUGAGCAGAGGUCAAUGGCCAAAGAAGAGAACAUCCUUUAUUUCCUACGUAUGCAGGAGUGCCUGAAUCUAAAGGUUUCAGAUGUGAAAAAUGAAAAAAGAGCUGCCUCUGGAAAGGGUCAAAGCCUCAAAGACUUACAGUUUUCAGGUUGAGAAACAACCCUUUGAAAUGAAAACAGAGCUUUCCUCAGCCAGUGACGGAUGUGCCAUGACUGAAUUAGUAAAGGGCAAACAUCACACAGUGAGCACAAAACCAAGGGCGGUCACGUUGCAGCAACACAGCCAGAGCAGGAGCUCCAGUUGAAAUGAUUUAUUCGACAUUUGAAACAUCCAGUUCUCUGCUCAAAUAUUUAUAACACUUCCUGGUUGCUUUGAGGCUUUUAAUAGGCCUGAAUAAAUCUGUAAGUAUUGAAAAUUUGUCAGCAAAUGGGC
This 492-nucleotide long non-coding RNA is filed under the name Fukomys damarensis (Damara mole-rat). RNAcentral's name for it is "lncRNA (ENSFDAG00000021967.1)". Lineage: Eukaryota; Metazoa; Chordata; Mammalia; Rodentia; Bathyergidae. The record is from RNAcentral.